GAUGAACGCUGGCGGCGCGCCUAACACAUGCAAGUCGAACGGCACCCCUCCUCGGAGGGAAGCGAGUGGCGAACGGCUGAGUAACACGUGGAGAACCUGCCCCCUCCCCCGGGAUAGCCGCCCGAAAGGACGGGUAAUACCGGAUACCCCGGGGUGCCGCAUGGCACCCCGGCUAAAGCCCCGACGGGAGGGGAUGGCUCCGCGGCCCAUCAGGUAGACGGCGGGGUGACGGCCCACCGUGCCGACAACGGGUAGCCGGGUUGAGAGACCGACCGGCCAGAUGGGGACUGAGACACGGCCCAGACUCCUACGGGAGGCAGCAGUGGGGAAUCUUGCGCAAGGGGGGGAACCCUGACGCAGCGACGCCGCGUGCGGGACGGAGGCCUUCGGGUCGUAAACCGCUUUCAGCAGGGAAGAGUCAAGACUGUACCUGCAGAAGAAGCCCCGGCUAACUACGUG
Molecule: ribosomal RNA, 459 nt
Filed under: uncultured bacterium
Lineage: Bacteria
Description: partial 16S ribosomal RNA
Rfam family: Bacterial small subunit ribosomal RNA
Source: RNAcentral